GAACGAGGAUAUAUCCUUCGGGAUAUAAGCCGAGUGGCGCAAGGGUGAGUAAUGCAUAGAUUACCUGCCUCUAGGAUAAGGACAACUUUGUGAAAACGAAGCUAAUACUUAAUAAUACAAAAGAAAAUAAUUUUCUUUUGUCAAUGGGAGGGUAGCAAUACCUUUUGCCUAGAGAGGGGCUUAUGUCCUAUCAGCUUGUUGGUGGGGUAAUGGCCUGCCAAGGCGAAGACGGGUAGCCGGUCUUAGAGGAUGGUCGGCCACACUGGGACUGAGACACUGCCCAGACUUCUACGGAAGGCUGCAGUCGAGAAUCUUUCGCAAUGCCCGAAAGGGUGACGAAGCGACGCCGCGUGAGUGAGGAAGGCCUUAGGGUUGUAAAGCUCUGUCAGGAGUUAAGAAAUAUAAGUGUGUUAAUACCACGUUUAUUUGACGAAGGCUCCAAAGGAAGCCACGGCUAACUCUGUGCCAGCAGCCGCGGUAAUACAGAGGUGGCAAGCGUUGUUCGGAAUUAUUGGGCGUAAAGAGCACGUAGGUGGGUUUGUAAGUCAGAUGUGAAAGCCUUCUGUUCAACGGAAGAAUUGCAUCUGAAACUGCAAGUCUUGAGUGUAGGAGGGGAGAAUGGAACUUCUGGUGGAGCGGUGAAAUGCGUAGAUAUCAGAAGGAACGCCGGCGGCGAAAGCGAUUCUCUGGCCUAUUACUGACGCUCAGUGUGCGAAAGCUAGGGGAGCAAACGGGAUUAGAUACCCCGGUAGUCCUAGCCGUAAACGAUGGGCACUAAGUAGAGGGAAUUACCGAUGUUCUCUCUGCCGUAGCUAACGCAUUAAGUGCCCCGCCUGGGGAGUACGGCCGCAAGGCUAAAACUCAAAAGAAUUGACGGGGGCUCGCACAAGCGGUGGAGCAUGUGGCUUAAUUCGAUGCAACGCGAAAAACCUUACCGGGGCUUGACAUGGUAGAAGUAGGAACCCGAAAGGGUAACGAACGGUAUCCAGUCCAUAGCUAUCACAGGUGUUGCAUGGCUGUCGUCAGCUCGUGUCGUGAGACGUUGGGUUAAGUCCCCUAACGAGCGAAACCCUUGUUUUUAGUUACCAGCGGGUUAUGCCGGGUACUCUAGAAAGACUGCCGUCGUCAAGACGGAGGAAGGUGGGGAUGACGUCAAGUCAUCAUGGCCCUUAUGCCCCGGGCUGCACACGUGCUACAAUGGUCGGUACAAACGGAAGCGAAGCCGAGAGGUGAAGCGAAUCCUAAAAAGCCGAUCUCAGUUCGGAUUGGAGGCUGAAAUUCGCCUCCAUGAAGUUGGAAUCGCUAGUAAUCGCGGAUCAGCAAUGCCGCGGUGAAUAUGUUCCCGAGCCCUGUACACACCGCCCGUCAAGCCACCCAAGCAGGAUGCACCCGAAAACAUUAUAUCUAACCAGGGCAACUUGGAGGAAAGUGUUGAAGGAGUGUUUUGUGA
This 1450-nucleotide ribosomal RNA is filed under the name uncultured anaerobic ammonium-oxidizing bacterium. Its description in RNAcentral is "16S ribosomal RNA". It matches the Rfam family "Bacterial small subunit ribosomal RNA". The record is from RNAcentral.